RNAcentral lists this ribosomal RNA (1474 nucleotides) under Bacillus proteolyticus. RNAcentral's name for it is "bacterial SSU rRNA". It matches the Rfam family "Bacterial small subunit ribosomal RNA". The record is from RNAcentral. Lineage: Bacteria; Bacillati; Bacillota; Bacilli; Caryophanales; Bacillaceae.
GAACGCUGGCGGCGUGCCUAAUACAUGCAAGUCGAGCGAAUGGAUUAAGAGCUUGCUCUUAUGAAGUUAGCGGCGGACGGGUGAGUAACACGUGGGUAACCUGCCCAUAAGACUGGGAUAACUCCGGGAAACCGGGGCUAAUACCGGAUAACAUUUUGAACUGCAUGGUUCGAAAUUGAAAGGCGGCUUCGGCUGUCACUUAUGGAUGGACCCGCGUCGCAUUAGCUAGUUGGUGAGGUAACGGCUCACCAAGGCCACGAUGCAUAGCCGACCUGAGAGGGUGAUCGGCCACAUUGGGACUGAGACACGGCCCAAACUCCUACGGGAGGCAGCAGUAGGGAAUCUUCGGCAAUGGACGAAAGUCUGACCGAGCAACGCCGCGUGAGUGAAGAAGGUUUUCGGAUCGUAAAACUCUGUUGUUAGAGAAGAACAAGUGCUAGUUGAAUAAGCUGGCACCUUGACGGUACCUAACCAGAAAGCCACGGCUAACUACGUGCCAGCAGCCGCGGUAAUACGUAGGUGGCAAGCGUUGUCCGGAUUUAUUGGGCGUAAAGCGAGCGCAGGCGGUUUCUUAAGUCUGAUGUGAAAGCCCCCGGCUCAACCGGGGAGGGUCAUUGGAAACUGGGAGACUUGAGUGCAGAAGAGGAGAGUGGAAUUCCAUGUGUAGCGGUGAAAUGCGUAGAGAUAUGGAGGAACACCAGUGGCGAAGGCGACUUUCUGGUCUGUAACUGACGCUGAGGCUCGAAAGCGUGGGGAGCAAACAGGAUUAGAUACCCUGGUAGUCCACGCCGUAAACGAUGAGUGCUAAGUGUUAGAGGGUUUCCGCCCUUUAGUGCUGAAGUUAACGCAUUAAGCACUCCGCCUGGGGAGUACGGCCGCAAGGCUGAAACUCAAAGGAAUUGACGGGGGCCCGCACAAGCGGUGGAGCAUGUGGUUUAAUUCGAAGCAACGCGAAGAACCUUACCAGGUCUUGACAUCCUCUGAAAACCCUAGAGAUAGGGCUUCUCCUUCGGGAGCAGAGUGACAGGUGGUGCAUGGUUGUCGUCAGCUCGUGUCGUGAGAUGUUGGGUUAAGUCCCGCAACGAGCGCAACCCUUGAUCUUAGUUGCCAUCAUUAAGUUGGGCACUCUAAGGUGACUGCCGGUGACAAACCGGAGGAAGGUGGGGAUGACGUCAAAUCAUCAUGCCCCUUAUGACCUGGGCUACACACGUGCUACAAUGGACGGUACAAAGAGCUGCAAGACCGCGAGGUGGAGCUAAUCUCAUAAAACCGUUCUCAGUUCGGAUUGUAGGCUGCAACUCGCCUACAUGAAGCUGGAAUCGCUAGUAAUCGCGGAUCAGCACGCCGCGGUGAAUACGUUCCCGGGCCUUGUACACACCGCCCGUCACACCACGAGAGUUUGUAACACCCGAAGUCGGUGAGGUAACCUUUUUGGAGCCAGCCGCCUAAGGUGGGACAGAUGAUUGGGGUGAAG